UAAAACUCCAACCUUCGUAAUGAAAUCACGUUUUCCCUUUUAUUUUAUUAGGAGAAAAAUAUUUCAUUUAUCUUAAAUGUAAUAUUGUAAUUUUACUCAGUUACUGUAACUCAGUACUUUUACUCUGCUUUUCUAGUCUAUUCACUGACAUCUUAAUCCUGUGUUCUCCUGAGCUUGAACCUGAACGUCAGACCAACCAUCGACUGCAGGAGACAUGAGCCUCAGACCAUCUCACCGUCACUAUCUUCAUCAUCAUCAUCAUCAUCAUCAUCAUCAUCAGCCCAGAGCACUACCACAGCUGAGUCUGGACAGGACGUAGUUCUACCAUGUCGAGUAUCACCAGACAAAACCAUCAGAGCUGUGAAGUGGAGCAGAGCUGACCUGGGAGAUGAAUAUGUGCUUCUGUUCCGGGAUGAGCAGCUGGAUCCAGAAGAGCAGCAUCCAUCUUUUAAGAACCGGGUGGAUCUGCAGGACAGACAGAUGAAGGAUGGAGACGUAUCUUUGAUUCUGAAGAAUGUGACGACUGCUGAUGGUGGAUCAUACAAUUGUGAUAUUUUCAACGGAGUGACAGAUUCAUGGGAGAUCAUCAACACUGUCAGCCUGACUGUUUCAGGUCAGACAGCAGAACUCACAGUUGCACCUGUUGGACUCAUCGUUGGUCUGAGUGUUCCUGCUGUGCUUCUUGUUGCUGCUGUUGUUGGUUUUGUGAUCUACAGAAAACAUAAACAACAGAACCGGGAUUUUAACUAGCAUCCUCAUGAACAGCAGGUUUCAAAUGUCUCUACGGUUUAGUAUGUGUAAACUAACAAAACACUAAACUUACAAAACAACACUGGUUUAAAAACUAAUUGUUUAAUUUAAUCCUGGAUCACACUACAUGACAUCACUACAGAGUUCAGACAAAUGAUGCAUCAUUUACCCGAAUCGCUAUAAUUGAGAAAAAUCCUGGAAAAAAAAUAUUAGGACAUAAUAAUUGACAAGUUUCACCUGCUCUAUGUGUAACUCAAUGACCUCUAACACCUGAAAUAUUUUAUUGUAUGAAGGUAAAAUAUUGUGUACCUCUAAUGUUCAUCAUCUAUCCAGAUCUAUCACAGUGACAUGGAACCGCCCACCGUAUUAUAAAUCCUUUCCAUUUAAUGUAUUUAAAAGGUGGAGGUGUUGCUCUUCCAUCACUGUCACUGGCAGAUCUGAAUGAAUACUGACCUUAAAAGUGAAGAUGAACCCUGUUUGAAUGACAGCAUGUUGUUUACCAGUUCAUUAAUAUUAGUGAAUGACUCUGGGGCAGGGAUGUCAAAUUGGUUUUACAUCGUGGGCCACAUUAAACUCCCCUCGAUGUAAAGUAGUUUAAAUUCACAUUUAAUCUGACAUAUCUCAGUGUAAGAAAGAGAAGUGCAACUUUACCAGCACCUCUGAAGUUUCUCUAAUAAAUUUCUGUACUAGAUGGUGAAAAAACAGGAGCUUUCUGUAACUUAACAGCCUGUUUAUUGUUUAUUUACUUUGGUGUCGUAUGAAUCACCUUUGAUGAGGUCGUCAGCUGAAAAGCAGCAAAGCUGCAUUUUCCAAAGCCACCCAGUGGGGAUAUUGGAACAUGUUUGUUCCCCAAUAGCAGCUAAGUUUAUUAUUUAUUCAUUAUAAUAGAAACAUUAUAGCAGGUUAUGAUAUGGAUGUGUUACUCAGAGAAUUGAAUUUGUAACCUCUGACCUUUGUGAAGCUUUUCAGCUUAAAAUGCCAGAACGACCAGACACUAAAGACAAACCCACUGCAUAAAGGAAACUUUACUACACUAUGUAAGGAGCAGAAGACACUAAAAUACUAAAUUAAAACUAAAACAUUUUCAUGCUAUAACAUAAAAACUGGCGUCAUGCAUGUCAGCUGAUCCUUUUAUCAUUUUUAGUUUGUCAUAGAGACAAAAAGUGAGGGAGCAUUUAGAGCAGAACAUCCUAACAGGAAGUUCAACUCUGUGGUUUUACAGUUACGCUGUGUUCAGCUGUGAAUAGUUCAAAGCAAAGGAGGAGUGAUGUCAGUGUAGCUUAGAGGAAGUCUGAAAUAGAGUCGACAGCCAGGAUCACAAACACUACACAGUUUCUGAUUCCAUCCUUUUCCUGUAAGUAACUAGUUAAUGUAACUCUUCUUUCUAGGUAACAAUUUGAUGUCAAACGUGACUCGUGUGAGCAAAGUAAAGGCUUUUCAAACUAUUUUCUAUCCAUCUGUACAUCUAGUGGCUCUAAGCACUCACUGCAGCUGUUCGUAACUUCAAACAUUAAAAAAUGCAUUUAUUACACAUCACUACACUAACAGACUAACUAAAGAGAUGAGUGGUGAUCCUCUCAGCAGACUGAGGGGUGAACACAUUAAACCAGGUCAAAUAUCCACGUUCAUGUUUAAAUAAUGCAGAACUUUGGUGCAAACAGCAGUAACAUCAGUGACGAUGGUGAAACAACAGGAAGUAAACAAACCACUAAAUGGGACCAGUGAGGAAGUGUCAGUACAAUAAAAAAGAUGCAGAAAAGAAACGAUGGAGUAAAAAAACUAUUUUAAAAGGAAAACACAAGAAGUCUGAUGUGUUUUGUUCUUUCAGGUCUGGAGAUCAUACACAUGGAUAGAUUUUUUUUUAAUCUAAAGAUAUUUACUUUGUACACAGGAACAUGUGAGAUAUGAAAAAUGUUCAAAGUAAAUAGUUUUGACUCAUUUUUGUUGAUUGAUUUAUGACUGACUGCUGCAGUCUGGAGCAUGAAUGUGAUUUUUGUUUAUAUGUAUGAUAUACUGGAAUGUUCGCUUGUUAAUGCUUUUCUGCAAUGUGCUGCACUACAGAAAUAAAAGUAAUAUUUGAAAAUCAU
Molecule: long non-coding RNA, 2837 nt
Organism: Oreochromis aureus
Lineage: Eukaryota; Metazoa; Chordata; Actinopteri; Cichliformes; Cichlidae
Source: Ensembl